CGCUUGGUGUUGGAUGGUUUGGUGGAGGGCUCCUCCACCCAUCCGAAAGACAAUGACGGCGGCCUAUGGAACCCCCGGUACACGGAGCUUUUAACGGAGUACGUAUCGGACGAGGGUGCCCGGGACCCGGUCUUCUCCUUUCAUCAGGAACAUUUUUCAAGGUUGACCUCGGAUCAGGUAGGAAUACGCGCUGAACUUAA
RNAcentral lists this unclassified non-coding RNA (200 nucleotides) under soil metagenome. RNAcentral describes it as "partial contains internal transcribed spacer 2 and large subunit ribosomal RNA". The record is from RNAcentral.